GACGAACGCUGGCGGCGUGCUUAACACAUGCAAGUCGAGCGGUAAGGCCCUUUCGGGGGUACACGAGCGGCGAACGGGUGAGUAACACGUGGGUGACCUGCCCUUAGCUCUGGGAUAAGCCUGGGAAACUGGGUCUAAUACCGGAUAUGACUCCAUGACGCAUGUUGUGGGGUGGAAAGCCUUGUGCGGCUAGGGAUGGGCCCGCGGCCUAUCAGCUUGUUGGUGGGGUGAUGGCCACCAAGGCGGACGACGGGUAGCCGGCCUGAGAGGGCGACCGGCCACACUGGGACGUGAGACACGGCCCACGACUCCUACGGGAGGCAGCAGUGGGGAAUCUUGCGCAAUGGGCGAAAGCCUGACGCAGCGACGCCGCGUGAGGGAUGACGGGCCU
This 391-nucleotide ribosomal RNA is filed under the name uncultured bacterium. RNAcentral describes it as "bacterial SSU rRNA". It matches the Rfam family "Bacterial small subunit ribosomal RNA", at positions 28 to 418 of the family's 1533-position model. The record is from RNAcentral.